This 65-nucleotide transfer RNA is filed under the name Potamanthus sp. MT-2014. RNAcentral's name for it is "tRNA-Leu". Lineage: Eukaryota; Metazoa; Arthropoda; Insecta; Ephemeroptera; Potamanthidae. RNAcentral also lists the same sequence under 1 other name. The record is from RNAcentral.
AUUACUUUGGCAGACAAGUGCAAUAGAUUUAGAAUCUAUAAAUGGAAGAAGACUUUCAGGUAAUA